GUCUAGCCUCGAUUGUAGCGAUUGUUUGAGCUCAUUUUAAUAAGUUUCGGCGCGGCGGCUCCGCCGCGCCGAAACUUAUUAAAAUAGCGAGUGCGGAAAGCGAGAAAAAGC
RNAcentral lists this unclassified non-coding RNA (111 nucleotides) under Chryseobacterium takakiae. RNAcentral describes it as "Flavo-1 RNA". The record is from RNAcentral. Lineage: Bacteria; Pseudomonadati; Bacteroidota; Flavobacteriia; Flavobacteriales; Weeksellaceae.